GAUCCUGGCUCAGGAUUAACGCUGGCGGCGUGCAUAACACAUUCAAGUCGAACGGAGAGAUACAACCCUUGGGUAGUAUUGAUCAGUGGCGGACGGGUGAGUAACGCGUGAGUAACCUGCCUGUGAGAGGGGAAUAACAGCUGGAAACGGGUGCUAAUACCGCAUAAAGCAUAAUAAUCGCAUGAUUGAUAUGCCAAAGAGAGAUCGCUCACAGAUGGACUCGCGU
This 226-nucleotide ribosomal RNA is filed under the name uncultured bacterium. RNAcentral describes it as "partial 16S ribosomal RNA". It matches the Rfam family "Bacterial small subunit ribosomal RNA", at positions 15 to 236 of the family's 1533-position model. The record is from RNAcentral.